UUCUGCUCAGACUAAUGACUCUCUCCCUUUCUCCAUUGCAGCUAUAAAAACUCCAACACUGAGUAAAGCUACAGGUGAUUUACGAGUAAUUGUUGGUGUAAUCCUGCCAUUGCUGGCCAUAGCUGCUGUUGGUCUGAUUUACUGGAAAUACAGGAACUCUAAACGAAAUGAACCAAAGCGUAAAAACAGAGAAAGGGCCAGAGAGACAUGCGAAGAUGCGAAAUUCAGAGACGGACUGAUGCCGGAUGAGAAGAUUGGAUCAUCAGAAAUGAUUGAUUAUAGAUUAUCAAUCGUCAAAAGUGGAGAAACAUAAUUCAAGAGAUUCUGUGUCUUUGGUUCCAGUGUAGCAAGAAUAAUUUGGUCAGAAGAGAUAAACAUGCCUUGAUGUUGAUACUUCCAACAGCUUUAUU
Molecule: long non-coding RNA, 410 nt
Organism: Sinocyclocheilus grahami
Lineage: Eukaryota; Metazoa; Chordata; Actinopteri; Cypriniformes; Cyprinidae
Exons: 3
Source: RefSeq, a predicted model, not a curated record